GGGUGCACAAGAGGAGAGAAAAUGAGAUGUGAUAGAAAACUUCACAGUGAGACUUCAAGACUAUCUGCAGAGAAACUCAUCAGAAGGAGACCUGAAAGGUACUUUAAGUCAGGAGUUCAUGAGUUUUCAGUAUUCUGUGGGAGAAUCAAUCUACAGGAAGAGCAGUUCCUGUGCUCCACUAAUUGAACCUGCAUCCAGAUGUUUAAAAGCAGGGAAUGCUGUUUUGAAGGAAAGCCACAGAAGUUGGCUUAUGUGCUGUGGAGACAGUGUGGUCCUCUUCCAUUCCCAGAUUGUGGAAAGAAACCUCAAGUGGCCUGCAAGUUGGACGUGACUGGUCAUCGUAUUUCCUGCAUCAUCAGUCAGAAAAUGGCAUGCAGCUGUAUUUUCAGACUGAACCACACUGUGCGGGGACACAACUGGAGACACUGGCUAUUUUAUCAAGGCUUAAAUUGGAAUAACAUGCUUUCAGAUAUAAACAGACUGCUUGAAGGAAUCAAAGUUGACUUACAGAGCCAGUAGAAGCCCCUUGGGAGAACUGGUCUUAUACCUUAUUUACACAGUCCCUGUACAGAGUUCCUGACCUGUGUGACCCUAUGUCUGACUGGUUCUCAGAGCUAUUUGCCUGAAUCCCCUAGGGUUUCAAAUCAGUUCUACAAAGAAGACUGAAGAUCGGACUUACACUCCUGACAUUAAGACUCAUUAUCUUCUAGUCUGCUGUUCACUGAAGUGCUGUGCUAAAACUGUGGAUGAGAGUACUAACAUCAUUGUCAUGCAAGUCUUGAAACCCCAACCAGGCACCUGUGAAUACAUGCAGACAGCUGCAAAGUGGUUUCACUCCUCUUACCUUUAAGAAUAAUGUGUGAUGAAACCCAAGAGGGAAGAUUAAAACUGCCUUUGCAAAGAUUAUGACAGUGAGAAAAAUUUGACAUAGGAAAAGUAUGACAGUGAAGAAAUCUGACCUAAUCAGCGGAUCUUGCUUGUAACCGCCAAGCUGCCUUUGUCCAUUGCUGGGGGUAGCCUGAACCAACUUUGGAAGUAAUUGAGUUUAUAAUUUAACUUUGAAAAGAAGAAUGACAAAAGCCCAUUCUCCAAACAACCUCCCCUCUCCGCUUGCUUAGGGACCAGACUAUCUUUAUAAAACCAACACAUUAGCCACAAGAUUAGAAAUGAUGGCUUAGGAGUCAUGCAGCCAGAGGCCACAAGAAUUCAAACUCCUAAUUGCUCUUAUAGAUCACCACUAUUGUAAAACCUAGGAUUGAUGUUCGAGGUAUUUUUCACAUCCUGCAUUCUGAUAGAUCAGCUGGUGCCACCUAGACCAGUCAACUGGCUUAUCUGGUCUUGUGGUUCCCACCCAGGAACUGACUCAGCACCAGAGGACAGCACUGACUUCCUAUGAUUUCAUCCCCACUCUACCAUUCAGCAUUCCUCAUUUCCUAGCUCUCUGACUACCAAACUAUCUUAAAAAAAACCCUAGUCUUUGAAUUUUCAGGGAGGCUGGUUGGCAUAGUAAGAAAACUUCAGCAUCCCCUUUUAGCUGGCUCUACGUGUAUUAAACUCUUUAUUGCAAUUCCCUGUCUUGAUAAAUCAGCUCUGUUCAGGCAACAGGCAAGAUGAACCUGUCAGGAGGUUACAAAGAUAUAGAACUUACUCAAUAAUUGCCUUUUAAAUAAAGAAAAAAUGUUAAAUAUUUUCUAUCUAGUUUGUCUGAUUAUGAAUGCGAGGGGUCACAAUGAUAGCAAUUUAUUAUUAUUACUGCAAUUAAUCUUAGAGUUCCACAAAGAGGCUUCACCAAACAAUUUAAAAGGAAUUUAUUGCUAGAACAUUUUGCGGGUCAUGUUUAAAUGCACUUUCUGUUACUACACAACUGAGAGAUUGCUAUAUUGUCAAAGCCACUUGCUGUUCAUUUCUCUCUCAAAUCUCUUACUCAAACCCAGACUCAUCUCAUGCUGCUGGAGUUGGGUCAUGGGCAAAGCUCCAGCAAUGACGUUUUGAGCCACAGGUGGCCCCCUGGCUGAAUGUAAUACUUGCCUGGUUUAUUUUUUAGAGCCUGGCCUUAAGCAUUUCAUUCAAGGCCAUCAGUAUUAUUUUAUGUAAGUGAUUAACAUUUUUGGGGGGUACAGACUCUUUUUUGUUAGGGCUAACACAGCAUAAUCUUCUACUAGCCUAAAUUCCCAUUAGUAUCCACUGUUGCAUAAAGAAUGCUCAU
Molecule: long non-coding RNA, 2206 nt
Organism: Cercocebus atys (sooty mangabey)
Lineage: Eukaryota; Metazoa; Chordata; Mammalia; Primates; Cercopithecidae
Exons: 3
Source: RefSeq, a predicted model, not a curated record